Molecule: ribosomal RNA, 498 nt
Filed under: uncultured bacterium
Lineage: Bacteria
Description: partial 16S ribosomal RNA
Rfam family: Bacterial small subunit ribosomal RNA
Source: RNAcentral
GGAUGAACGAUGGCGGCGUGCCUAAUACAUGCAAGUCGAGCGAACGGACGAGAAGCUUGCUUCUCUGAUGUUAGCGGCGGACGGGUGAGUAACACGUGGAUAACCUACCUAUAAGACUGGGAUAACUUCGGGAAACCGGAGCUAAUACCGGAUGAUAUUUUGAACCGCAUGGUUCAAAAGUGAAAGACGGUCUUGCUGUCACUUAUAGAUGGAUCCGCGCUGCAUUAGCUAGUUGGUAAGGUAACGGCUUACCAAGGCAACGAUGCAUAGCCGACCUGAGAGGGUGAUCGGCCACACUGGAACUGAGACACGGUCCAGACUCCUACGGGAGGCAGCAGUAGGGAAUCUUCCGCAAUGGGCGAAAGCCUGACGGAGCAACGCCGCGUGAGUGAUGAAGGUCUUCGGAUCGUAAAACUCUGUUAUUAGGGAAGAACAUAUGUGUAAGUAACUGUGCACAUCUUGACGGUACCUAAUCAGAAAGCCACGGCUAACUACGUG